GACGAACGCUGGCGGCGUGCCUAACACAUGCAAGUCGAGCGGGGAUUUAAGUGGAAGUUCUUCGGAAUGGAGAUUUAAAUUCUAGCGGCGGACGGGUGAGUAACGCGUGAACAAUCUGUCCCGGACAGGGGGAUAACACUUUGAAACAGGUGCUAAUACCGCAUAAGACCACGGCCUCGCAUGGGGCUGAGGUAAAAGGAGCAAUCCGGUUCGGGGUGAGUUCGCGUCCGAUUAGCUAGUUGGUGAGGUAACGGCCCACCAAGGCGACGAUCGGUAGCCGGCCUGAGAGGGUGAACGGCCACAUUGGAACUGAGAGACGGUCCAAACUCCUACGGGAGGCAGCAGUGGGGAAUAUUGGGCAAUGGGCGAAAGCCUGACCCAGCAACGCCGCGUGAGGGAAGAAGGUUUUCGGAUUGUAAACCUCUGUCCUAUGGGACGAAGGAAGUGACGGUACCAUAGGAGGAAGCCCCGGCUAACUACGUG
RNAcentral lists this ribosomal RNA (483 nucleotides) under uncultured bacterium. RNAcentral describes it as "partial 16S ribosomal RNA". It matches the Rfam family "Bacterial small subunit ribosomal RNA", at positions 28 to 507 of the family's 1533-position model. The record is from RNAcentral.